GAAGAAACCAAUAUAUUCCAUAAGGUGUAAGGUGACCUGAAUUCAAAACUUUAACCUCUUUUAUGGGCAGUACAUAAUUGCAGAACCAAGAAGAAGGUUAUCAUAGCUUUUGAGGCAUCUGUCUCUCCUAUUGUUUUUCAGUAUUUGCCGCUUCCGAUCCAGACAAGAACAAUAGUCACAGUCAGUAUUUAGCAGUGUGUUACCACCCAAUAUCACUCCAAAAGCUAAAAUGCUCUGAGCACUUGAAAACAAAACAAGACCACCACAAUCAACACCCUAUCUGUGGCCACUAGCAUCCUUACAUUUCUUUAACAACAAAGAGAUUAGGUAUGUCCCACACACUCAUAGACAAAUAGCAUCCCAUGAGGCUAGGAUCAAAGAUCAAACACCAUCAUCUCUUCCCUGUCAUUUUCAAUGGGAUAAAAUCCCACAUCCUAAACUUUUCUUUCACGCCUGUCCACCGCCAGCUAUUGCUUGAAAAUGUAAAGAUUAUAUUGAUUCCCUUCCUGUCUCUUUGCCUUGCUAUUUUUCCUCUUUUCACUCGGUUUCCUCGUGUUGCAAUCUUGUCCUUAAAAACCUUAGUGCAUAUUUACAACCACCAUGUGAACUUGGACGUUCAAUAAUUUUGUUCCCCACACUCCACAUCGAGAAAAAUAGAUGCAAACCCAAUUUAGAUCAAGAGUGGAUGAUUUCAAAUUGCCAAGAAUUUAUUACCUUUUAAGUUUGGAUGGUGAACUAUAAUCCCCACAGCACGUUAUUAGUCUGAGGUCUACAUCUCACAGACAAUAGGUCCAUUACUUUUCGAACAUGCAUGAGUGGCGUUGUAAUGGAAUCAUAAAACCCUCCAUUCAUCAUUGUGGGGAAAUAUUUAAAGGAUUCCAUGCAAGAUUUGAUAGAUAAUGGAGAUUUGGACAUAUUUGUUUUAGCACAUAUCCAUUUGUACAUCAAAAUGUAGGGUCUGUCUUUUGAGUUUUGACACCUUUCUUUCUCCAUUAUUUUCCAACAUUAGGCAUCUUUCCUUCCAUCCCAACACUUUCAUCAAAGUGGAAGAGAAACUGAUGCACGAGGUAUGCUUCCAGGAAUCUGUCCCUUCUUUUGGUAAAUACAUAAUCACUAUAUUUCACUCCUGCAACUAAUUGUCAUAAUCGUUUUCCUUGGAAAGAUUCAUAGGAUCAGAAUAUAUGGUAAAAAAAAAUAUAAUUAGAUAAUACACAAUACUAUACUAUACCAUGGCAUUAAAACAAAAAAAAAAAUACUCAAAAAUCACAAGGGGUAUGUGGGAAUAUACUCCUCUUACUGCUGCUGCUUUCUCUUGAUCUCAUUAGCCUUCCCUCUCUUCGUCGUCCUUCUGUCUAGCAGAGGAACUUGAUCCUGAAGUCAUUCCAAUGACUUGGCUAUGUGUAAACCUUUGUAACUGUAUCAUACGAGCAUAACAUCCAUCAGGAUAAUUUUUCAAUAGAUGAGAGUGGGAUCCUUGCUCUGCUACUUUCCCAUCGUCGAUCACAGCAAUGACGUGGGCAUUUCUAAUAGUUGAUAGUCUGUGUGCAACCACAAUCGUGGUCUUUCCCGAACAAGCACGGUCUAGAGCCUCCUGGACAGACCUCUCAGACUCAGCAUCUAGCGCACUUGUUGCCUCAUCAAGUAGCAUAAGUUCUGCCCUUCUUACAAGAGCCCGAGCUAUGGCAAUUCUCUGCUUCUGUCCACCGGAUAACUGCACUCCCCUCUCCCCUACAAAUGUUUUGUACCCAUCUGGCAAUCCUGAUAUGAAUUUAUGAGCAUUGGCUAAAGUAGCAGCUUCAAUGAUUUCUGCCUCUGUUGCUGAUUCAUGACCGUAGGCAAUGUUUUCGUAAAUGGUAGCUGCAAAGAGACAUGGCUCCUGAGGGACCAUGGCAAUGUGCUUUCUCAGGGACUUGAGGUUGUAUUUUCGAAUGUCCUUCCCAUCAAUCAUAACCCUUCCUGAUGAUGGCUCAUAGAAACGCUGUAUAAGUGCAAUGACUGAGCUCUUACCACAUCCACUUGGACCUACAAGGGCUAGAGUUUUUCCAGCUCUUGCACGAAGAUUGAGAUCACGGAAAAUUGGGACAUCAGGGCGAGUUGGAUAAGAGAAGUCUACGUGCUUUAGUUCAACUUCUCCACGAAGACGGUCAGGAACUUCGGUGGCAUCUGGAUCAUCAGGUUCAAUUUCUGUUUUGCGGUCAAGCAGGUCGAAGACUGAGCGCAUGGCUCGACCGCCCUUGAUAAAGUCAGGAGCUAAGGUUAAUGUUUCAGCUGCGCCAUUGGCAGAAACCAUAAGGACCAUGAAAACUCGAAUUGUCUUUGAGAAAUCUGAAAUCCCAUGCUUCACCAGCCAAGAUGCAUACCAAAGACCAAGAGCAUAGGAAGCAUAGAGUGAAAACUGGGCUAUUCCAAAUCCACUUCCAGCUAUCUGCCCCUUCCAAAAGCAGCGUCGGAGGGGAAUUUGAAGGUUGGUGUCGAAAAGACCAACUAUUUGUGACUCUGAAUUGAAGGCAGCAACAGUCCUUACAUUGGCUAUGGCCUCACCUGCCAGUUGUGUGGCUUUGGCAUGUGCAGCUUCUAAGUCCCCGGAGAAACCAGUCAUGAACAUUUUCUGUUGAAACCCAACAAAAAUGGUGACAAAAAAAUGAUUCAUUUUUGGUGAUAUUAGGACAAAAGUUUCAAAUGGCAAGGAAAAUAAGAACUGUUGCUCAUAAUUAUUGACUCCAUUCAAUUUUCUCAAAAUUUCCCUCUUAAAAUAUAUUCCAUUUGUCCCACUCAAAUAAUCUAUUGAAUUCAAUGCACAUUUUAAUUAACGGUUCACCACUAGCUUCUAAUAAUUUGACCAUUUGUUUCCAAACAUGGUAAAAUUGAUGUUGAUGAACAAAUUAGAGAAACAAACCUGUAGAACAGUGGCUGCAACAACCAAGGGGAAGACAGAGAUAAGGACAAGGGCUAGGCGCCACUGCAAAACAAACCCUGCGGUGCAAGCAACUAGCAUCAAGGCUGUAUUCUGUACAAUCACUGAAAUCCUGUCUCCAAUGGCUGAUCUGACAUUGUUUGCAUCGAGAGCUAAUCUUGCUGCAAUCCUAGCACUCUCAUUUUCCUCCUGAUCAAACCAUGCCAUUUCAUUUUUUAGUACUGCUGACAGCAUUUUCUCCCUCACUCGUUUUGUAAGAUUCUCUCCUACAAUGUCCCAGAAGAAAUGCUGCAAUGUGUUGAAGAUUAGUGCAGCUGAUGAGAGCCCAAUCAACAAAUAGCAGUACUUUCCAAUUUCUCGGCUCAUAUAAGCAUGGUUUUGAUUAUAGUAGACACUGAGGACAGCACUGAGGACAUAGGCAAAGAAGGCACUCAGGGAGCCACAAAUAACUGAGCCUACAGAACCAACUAGUGCGUAAACCCAUUCAGGAGAAUUCAUCUUUGCAAGGCGCCAGAAUGAACUCGCUUGCUCUUUGAAAGCAAGCUUUUCGAGUCGGUAAUUGGAAUGUGUGGCAUCAAGGGAGAGACUAAAAUCUGAGGUAGAGAAGUCAGAUAGCCUGCGUGAGUAUGGUGAUCGACCAUAAGAAGAAUUACGUGCAAUUAUUGGUGAGCUCACAGAGUUCCUGGCACUUGAGGGCCUUGCGCUACUCUUUCUGGCAUUGUUCAUAGCUGUUUCAUGAGCCAUUUCCUGCAUUCUGAUGAGCUUGGCAUAAACACCAUUCUCUCCUUUGGCAAUAAGCUCAUCAUGGGUUCCGAUUUCAGUGACACUACCCUGCUGGAGAACAGCUACAAGAUCAGCCUUGCGAAUGGUGGAGAGCCUGUGAGCAAUGACAAGAGUUGUCCUCCCAAUCAUGAAUCUGUCAAGGGCCUCCUGCACCAGUUUUUCUGAUUCAGAGUCCAAAGCACUAGUUGCCUCAUCUAAAAGCAGAAUAGCAGGGUUUUUCAGCAUUGCCCUUGCUAUAGCUAUUCUCUGCUUCUGUCCUCCAGACAACUGCAGUCCUCUCUCACCUACCUGAGUAUCAAAGCCUUCAGGUAGCUUGACAAUAAAUGAAUGUGCAUUGGCAACUCUGGCAGCUUCUUCGAUUUCGAUUUGAUCUGCAUCAGGUCUACCCAACAGUAUAUUUUCUUUAAUGGUGGUGGCAAACAGGGCAGGCUCUUGGCUAACAAGUCCUAUUUGUUGUCUCAACCAUCUCAAUUUUAAUGUCUUGAUGUCAUGCCCAUCUAGCAGAACUUGCCCUGAGUUGGGAUCAUAGAAUCUCUCAAUGAGGGAGACCACAGUGCUUUUGCCAGAGCCGCUGCUGCCAACCAGAGCUAUGGUCUUGCCGGCAGAAACAUUGAGGGUAAAAUUGUUUAGAAUCCGCACGUCUGGCCUAGAUGGGUAGGAGAAAUCUACAUUUUUGAGCUCUACUAGCCCUGUAACCGAGUCUAACUCUAACCCAGAUUCACUGUUUCGAUCAACAGCAGGCUUAUGAUCAAUUAUACGAAAAAUUUUUGUAGCAGCAACUUUUGCUUUCGCAAAUGCACCCAUACUAGGGGCAGAUUGGCCUAAAGCCAAUCCUCCAAUCAUGACAGCGAACAUGGUGGCUAUUGCUAGUCCUCCAUUGGUGUAGUGAUGCCUAACAAGAUAACCUCCAUACCAUAGAAGCAGAGCAUAGCAGCAGAAAACAACAAAGUAGGUUGCACCUAAUCCCAUUCCCUUAGCAAAUCCACUCUUGUAACCGACUCUUUGAGCCACUUUCAAUGCUGACGAAUAGCCUUGCAAUGCUCUUGAUUCUCCAACAAAUGCCAAAACAACCCGAAUUUGGACUAUCGUCUGUUCUACAAUGUUUCCUGCCUGUGAUAGAGCUUCUUGGCUCUUCCCAGAUAACUUAGCUAACGUGUUGGUGUGGAUUGCUGCAAUUACAGCAAUAAGAGGAACCACUGCUAGAGUGACCAGUGCUAAUUGCCACACAGCAGUGAAACCCACCACAAAUCCAGACACAAAUGUUGCCAUGUAGUGAAGGAAAUUGCCCAGCUUCUCACUAAUGGCAUCUUGGACCAUCACCGCAUCGGUGUUAAUGGCAAAAACGACGUCCGAGGUGCGAACCUCGGUGUCAAAGUACUGAAUGUCCUGGUUUAGAGCUGCUUCUAAGUACUUGAUCCUCAUCCUAGUUGUUUGCCUCUCUCCAGUCCACAUCCAACAUGAUAUCUCUGCCCAGGAAGACGCCCAGAUUGCAGCACCAACAAUAAGAAAGUAAAAUGCGUACUUCAAAACUUCUUGCAUCAUCUUAUCCAUGUCAUUAGCAUGAGACCCAAAAGAGUUAACAAGAUCGGCGAAGAAACGGAGAAAGAGAGGCAAAGAAGAGCCAUGUACAAGUGCACCAAUAGACCCAAUAGCCAUCAACACAUAAUCCAACCCAUCAGCAAAUCUGAACAGCUCUCCAAACCCAACAGUAGCAACAUCCCCUGACUUCUCUCCAUUACCACUUGGACUACUACUACUACCAGCACCACUACCAUCUUUCUUUGGGGUAGUGUUAUCCAUUUCUCUUCUCUCUAGUACAGUCUCUUGAUGGUUUUCCUCUUGUUGUUGGUGUUCUUUGGAGUUGAUUGUUAGAGUUGGAGUUGGAGGAGCGGAAGCAGUGUUGUUUAUAAAGGGGUCAUGAGCAGGAGGCACGAGUUCGAGGCCUUGCAUUUCGGACCAUUUCCACUGCUCAAUCGUCUUUAUCUCCUGAGACUCUUGUGACAUUUGCAAAAAUUCUCUCUCUUUACUCUUUCGCUUAGCUUAUUUUAGCUUUAUUGAAACAACAAACCCACCACCCACCCUCCCUUACCUCUUCUUUAUUAUCUCACUUCUCUAUCCCACCUGGCUUUUGAGCUCAUGUUCUUUUCCUCCCCCCUCUCUCUCUCUUUUUAAUCCCUUUCUUGGGUUUUUCUUUUUCCCCUUCUUUUUCAAGUUUUUACUCUCCACAUACAGUAUUAUCUAAUCAAACAAUUCUCUUUCUUUCUUUCGUUCUUUCUUUCUUUAUAUGUACACGUUCAUUUCAAUAGCUUACAAUUUCUUUUUUUGGUUGAAUUGUGUGUUGCCUAUCGCUUGUGGGAUUAAUUUGGUUUUUGUUACUGUAGAAUAAACUUUUUUAUAAAAUUAUUUUUUGGGGUUGCGUAAUUUGUUAUGUUCUUUUUCUUAGAGUUGGGUUAGGAAUUGGUAACCGUUAAUAUUUGGUAUUUUGAAUUUAUUGUGAUUAGGGUUUUUGUGCAAAUUCGUUAUUCUGGCAGUAAUUUUGUUUUUAGGGUUUUUUUGACAUGUUCUAUUACCUUGUUGGAGGCGAUAGUUGUUUUAAUUAGGGUUAUUCUUUGCAAUUUUACUUUUUUCCCUCUCUGCAAAACUUAGGAUUUUGCUAAAUUAUUUUAAGUUAGUCAUGAAUUCCAUAUGGUAAAUACAAUUCCCAUUUUCCUUCUCUGCAAAAUUUUGGCUUUGGCUAAACUAUUUUAGGUUACUUAUGUAUUUCAUAUGCUAAAUAUGAUUUCCAUUAGUUUUUCAGCAUUGGGAUAAGGUUUCCUUUCUGCAUCUUUCAUUUUCAGAAAAGCUAUUUGCUUGCAAUAAAAGGGAGGUUUUUCAAUUUUGUGCCUACAUUCUGAUGGUUGAACCACUAAAUUGUUUGAAAGUUCUCACCAUUAUUGGAUUUCUUGUGAAGUCAGCUUGCACUUUUAAUUAAGAUGCUUAAUGUUUUACUCUUGUAUUUGCCACACAAGCAGAGCUUUCAACAAGAUUAAAGUGAAGAAACAUUUUGUAAUUGUGUAGAAUAACAAAAUUUUGAAACAAGAUGAUAAAUUGAACUUCUACAAUUCAAACCAUAAUAGGUCAUUAAUAUUGUUCAUAAGAGAGACAUGUAAGAAGGAGAUAUUUCCUUCUAUUUUCAUGUGGUGUCUAAUGGACUCUAGAAGAGAUUGAGUUUCCUACUUUCCGUUACAUAAAAUCAAACUAACUGUUUACUUAUCUUCUUAUUGUCUUCAACAGUUUUAGUCCCAGGCUAUAACUUUUGUAAUUUUUCUGGUGUAUUUAAGUUCCAUUUAUUUUUCACUUAAUUUAAGGUUU
Molecule: unclassified non-coding RNA, 7048 nt
Filed under: Hevea brasiliensis (rubber tree)
Lineage: Eukaryota; Viridiplantae; Streptophyta; Magnoliopsida; Malpighiales; Euphorbiaceae
Source: RNAcentral